CCCUUAGAUGUUCUGGGCCGCACGCGUGCUACAAUGAUGCAGGCAACGAGUGCCGCUCCUUAGCCGAAAGGCUUGGGGAAUCUUGAAAACUGCAUCGUGCUAGGGAUAGAUGAUUGCAAUCGUGCAUCUUGAACGAGGAAUGCCUUGUAAGCGUGAGUCAUCAACUCGCGCUGAAUACGUCCCUGCCCUUUGUACACACCGCCCGUCGCUCCUACCGAUUGGAUGGUCCGGUGAACUGGUCGGACUGCUGUUUGAAAUUGCGGGUGCAGUUGAUUCACGGGAAGUCUAGUAAACCUUAUCAUCUAGAGGAAGGAGAAGUCGUAACA
Molecule: ribosomal RNA, 326 nt
Filed under: uncultured eukaryote
Lineage: Eukaryota
Description: partial 18S ribosomal RNA
Rfam family: Eukaryotic small subunit ribosomal RNA
Source: RNAcentral